This 2019-nucleotide long non-coding RNA is filed under the name Nicotiana benthamiana. Its description in RNAcentral is "long non-coding RNA (NBEN_LNC033654)". The record is from RNAcentral. Lineage: Eukaryota; Viridiplantae; Streptophyta; Magnoliopsida; Solanales; Solanaceae.
AUAGUUAAGCUGUUCAUUAAUGUUUCAGUGAUAAGAUUAGUCUUAGGUUAUAGUUAGAAUUAAUUUCCAUGUGUUUGUUAAUUAUAUUGAUGUAUUAGUUCAAUUCUUAGGAACUGUUUGCAUAUGGUUGAAUGCUCCAGCAAUGUUUUAUUUAACCAUGGUCAGUUCUGACCAAGAUUAAGGGGAUUGGAUUUAGUUUGACAUAGAUUAGUAAUUGUAGGACCAAUUCUAGGAUAGUUUAGGUAUUUUUAAACUAAAGAAUCCUGCACUAACUAAUUUGGAACCCACUAGAACAAUCUAGAUGGGGUUUUAAUUUAAAAUUCAUGAUUUAAAUGGUCUAACUUGAGUAACAAGUUAAGAACUAAGGGACUAAAUAGCUACAAUCUAAAAAAACAAAAGAGGGACUGAAUGCAAACUAAUUUUCAGCAAAAAUGCCCUAGUCCAUACCUAUAAAAGGCAUGCUAAAACCUGCCUUUAGGGGACUGAAAAAAAGGGAUAGGAAAUACGGAAUCAUUGGCGGCUGUAAAUUGACCAGGAAUUCUGACUGUCCUAUUGAAUUCUUAUUCUAAGGUGUAGGCUUGUUAUUCCAAAAGGAAAAAUCUAGUUCAAUUUUGAAAGAAUAGAUGGUGGAGUUUGAGUUUGAAAUGUUUGAUUCUUGAGAACUCGUUGGGUCAGCUGUCUGUGUGAAAUUGUUUUCCGGGCUGUAUUACCAUGUUUUUGAGUUCAAAUAAAUCCUUCUGCUAUCUAUUCUAUUAUUGUUGGAUUUGAGUCUAUGUGACUGGUUUUUGUUGCUGAUUCUGCUGUCUAUUUGCUGAUCAAUCACUCUUGCUUCUUUCCAUCUUCCAGGUAUUUUCCCUAGCUCAUAGUGGGAGACCAAUUGUUCAACUUGUAACAGUUGAAUGUGCUGAAAUGAAGACUGAGUUCAUGUUGACGUAUUCGUUUUACUCCCUUCUUGUUUUUAGUAUCUAGAUCUAGAAUUACUGAUGUGUAAGAGACUCCUAUAGAAUUUUCAUGGUGUGUAUUAAACUAAAAUUGGAAACCAUGGUUGUUAUGGUCUUGUUGCUUGUUAGCAUUUAGCUUUAGUACUUCUUAUCAGCAUGCAUAAAAUUAACAUCCAUACAGCAAUUUGAUUAGGAUUUAAUGUUAAGCUGUGUGUUUUAAAGAAUAUGGGAAUAAUCAGUAGCUUAAUUUAUAAGGGUGAUUUUUCUGGUCAUGCAUCUUCAUUAUUGCUAUCCCGUUGUAAAUAUUAGCUUAACUUCAUGGUUAUGGGUGUAACAUAUUAACACUGUGAUGAACUGAUUUUAAGAGGGUUAUUAGUUUAAUUGUUUUUGCAUUUUUAGUUUCGGACUUUCACUCUUGCAAUUUGCUCGUCAUGGUGUUAUGAAGAGGUGAAAUUAGUUUUAGAUACAUGUGGGAUGAGCAGCAAGUUUGAGCUAAGGAUGGAAAUGAUCUUUGCUCGAAUAUGGGCACAUUUUCAAGCCCAGGCAUCGACUAAAUGAAUUUGAAGGAAUUCUUUGCCUAAUGUGGGUCAAAAGGUCUAAAUCUGAAGAUAUAACUCUCACUUGCAUAUUCAUGGGUUGGCGUCAAUUUGCACUUAUAUUACUAUAGUUUGGACUAUUACCAUUGGAUCCGAACAACUUGGAUCGCAAGAACUAGGCCCAACGCUGGCCCAAUCACACCCAAACCCAGUUGUUAUUCACACUCAUAUUGGUCCACGAUGAUUGAUGUUAUUUGGAUGUCGUUAGCUCUGGGCCUUUGCUCCUUAUACCAUUUUGUAAUUUUACUGGUGUUGAUUCACAGGGUUUAACAUAUUUUGUUUGUUUAGGAAGCAAUACCAAUCCCUACAAAGUUUUAUUCAUUUAGCUGAGUCUCUUUAGUUGAUUAUGGAAUUGACUCAAUCAGAUAAUAAUAGUUUCUAGGUUCCUCUAAUUCCUUAAAAAUAAAUUGAGGUGCACUACUUAGCGAGUUUUCGUGGCCCUCGCAAACUUAAACAUACGAAAUUGCUUUAGGCCUCUUAGU